RNAcentral lists this ribosomal RNA (120 nucleotides) under Streptomyces mirabilis. RNAcentral's name for it is "partial 16S rRNA". It matches the Rfam family "Bacterial small subunit ribosomal RNA", at positions 162 to 283 of the family's 1533-position model. The record is from RNAcentral. Lineage: Bacteria; Bacillati; Actinomycetota; Actinomycetes; Kitasatosporales; Streptomycetaceae.
UCUAAUACCGGAUAACACCUGCCCGGGCAUCCGGGUGGGUUAAAAGCUCCGGCGGUGAAGGAUGAGCCCGCGGCCUAUCAGCUUGUUGGUGAGGUAGUGGCUCACCAAGGCGACGACGGG